RNAcentral lists this unclassified non-coding RNA (333 nucleotides) under soil metagenome. RNAcentral describes it as "partial contains 5.8S ribosomal RNA, internal transcribed spacer 2, and large subunit ribosomal RNA". The stretch from base 1 to 120 matches the Rfam family "5.8S ribosomal RNA", at positions 35 to 154 of the family's 154-position model. The record is from RNAcentral.
GAUGAAGAACGUAGCGAAAUGCGAUAAGUAAUGUGAAUUGCAGAAUUCAGUGAAUCAUCGAAUCUUUGAACGCACAUUGCGCCCCUUGGUAUUCCGAGGGGCAUGCCUGUUCGAGCGUCAUUAUCACCCCUCAAGCUCAGCUUGGUGUUGGGGCCGGCCCGUCACAGGGCCGCCCCUAAAAUCAGUGGCGGUGCCUGUCGGCUCUACGCGUAGUAAUACUCCUCGCGAUUGAGUCCCGGUAGGUCUACUUGCCAGCAACCCCCAAUUUUUACAGGUUGACCUCGGAUCAGGUAGGGAUACCCGCUGAACUUAAGCAUAUCAAUAAGCGGAGGA